This 452-nucleotide ribosomal RNA is filed under the name uncultured bacterium. Its description in RNAcentral is "bacterial SSU rRNA". It matches the Rfam family "Bacterial small subunit ribosomal RNA", at positions 354 to 796 of the family's 1533-position model. The record is from RNAcentral.
GUGGGGAAUAUUGCGCAAUGGGCGAAAGCCUGACGCAGCAACGCCGCGUGGGUGAUGAAGGCCUUCGGGUUGUAAAGCCCUGUCGGAAAAGACGAAACCUCACUUGGAGUAAUACCCAAGUGAGUUGACGGUAUUUUUAGAGGAAGCACCGGCUAACUCCGUGCCAGCAGCCGCGGUAAAACGGAGGGUGCUAGCGUUGUUCGGAAUUACUGGGCGUAAAGCGCGUGUAGGCGGAUUGAGAAGUCGAGUGUGAAAUCCCCCGGCUUAACCGGGGAAGUGCGCUCGAAACCAUCAAUCUUGAGUUUUGGAGGGGAGCAGGGAAUUCCCAGUGUAGAAGUGAAAUUCGUAGAUAUUGGGAGGAACACCAGUGGCGAAGGCGCUGCUCUGGCCAAACACUGACGCUGAGACGCGAAAGCGUGGGUAGCAAACAGGAUUAGAAACCCUGGUAGUCC